RNAcentral lists this ribosomal RNA (478 nucleotides) under uncultured bacterium. Its description in RNAcentral is "partial 16S ribosomal RNA". It matches the Rfam family "Bacterial small subunit ribosomal RNA", at positions 28 to 523 of the family's 1533-position model. The record is from RNAcentral.
GACGAACGCUGGCGGCGUGCUUAACACAUGCAAGUCGAACGGUAAGGCCCUUCGGGGUACACGAGUGGCGAACGGGUGAGUAACACGUGGGUGAUCUGCCCUGCACUUCGGGAUAAGCCUGGGAAACUGGGUCUAAUACCGGAAAGGACUCCUGGCUUCAUGGUUGGGGGUGGAAAGCUUUUGCGGUGUGGGAUGGGCCCGCGGCCUAUCAGUUUGUUGGUGGGGUAAUGGCCUACCAAGGCGACGUAGGGUAGCCGGCCUGAGAGGGUGACGGGACAGAAUAGGACUGGGAUACGGGCCGGACUCCGACGGGAGGCAGCAGUGGGGAAUAUUGCACACUGGGCGCAAGACUGAUGCAGCGACGCCGCGUGAGGGAUGACGGCCUUCGGGUUGUAAACCUCUUUCAGCUAUGACGAAGCACAAGUGACGGUAGUAGCAGAAGAAGGACCGGCCAACUACGUGCCAGCCGCCGCCGUAA